CUAGAAGUAAGGAAAACCAUCUUGGACGCAUGAUGAUGGCAGUGGAUCAGAGUCCCAAGGACACUGGUGAAGAUCAGAGCAGGACUCACACAACCUCAGAUCCCUGUGGAGUCAGGGUGGAACCAGAGGGAAGGCUGAAGGCUGGAGGGUCCUGAGAGGCCUUGCAGAAAGAGAGGACAUUGGAGCUGGGGCUUUGAUGGAUGAAGAGGAACUAGGGAAAGGCAUUUCAAGCAGAGGGAACAGCCUGUGCAACCACAGCAGGCAGCCCAGCAUGCCAGUGCUUCCUCCAUGAAUUUGAAAGACAUAUUGGCUGACCUCAUACCUAAGGAGCAGGCCAGAAUUAAGACCUUCAGGCAGCAACAUGGCAAGAAGGUGGUGGGCCAAAUCACUGUGGACAUGAUGUAUGGUGGCAUGAGAGGCAUGAAGGGAUUGGUCUAUGAAACAUCAGUUCUUGAUCCUGAUGAGGGCAUCCGUUUCUGAGGCUUUAGUAUCCCUGAAUGCCAGAAACUGCUACCCAAGGCUAAGGGUGGGGAAGAACCCCUGCCUGAGGGCUUAUUUUGGCUGCUGGUAACUGGAUGUAUCCCAACAGAGGAACAGGUAUCUUGGCUCUCAAAAGAGUGGGCAAAGAGGGCAGCUCUGCCUUCCCAUGUGGUCACCAUGCUGGACAACUUUCCCACCAAUCUACACCCCAUGUCUCAGCUCAGUGCAGCUGUUACAGCCCUCAACAGUGAAAGUAACUUUGCCCAAGCAUAUGCACGGGGUAUCAGCCGAACCAAGUACUGGGAGUUGAUUUAUGAAGACUCUGUGGAUCUAAUCACAAAGCUACCUUGUGUCGCAGCAAAGAUCUACCGAAAUCUCUAUGGAGAAGGCAGUGGUAUUGGGGCCAUUGACUCUAACCUGGACUGGUCUCACAGUUUCACCAACAUGUUAGGCUAUACUGAUCAUCAGUUCCCUGAGCUCAUGCACCUGUACCUCACUAUCCACAGUGACCAUGAGGGCGGCAAUGUAAGUGCCCAUACCAGCCACUUGGUGGGCAGUGGCCUUUCAGACCCUUACCUGUCCUUUGCAGCAGCCAUGAACGGGCUGGCAGGGCCUCUCCAUGGACUGGCAAAUCAGGAAGUGCUUGUCUGGCUAACACAGCUGCAGAAGGAAGUUGGCAAAGAUGUGUCAGAUGAGAAGUUAUGAGACUACAUCUGGAACACACUCAACUCAGGACGGGCUGUUCCAGGCUAUGGCCAUGCAGUACUAAGGAAGACUGAUCCACGAUAUACCUGUCAGCGAGAGUUUGCUCUGAAACACCUGCCUAAUGACCCCAUGUUUAAGUUGGUUGCUCAGCUAUGCAAGAUUGUGCCCAAUGUCCUCUUAGAGCAGGGUAAGGCCAAGAAUCCUUGGCCCAAUGUAGAUGCUCACAGUGGGGUGCUGCUCCAGUAUUAUGGCAUGAUGGAGAUGAAUUACUACACAGUCCUGUUUGGGGUGUCACGAGCAUUGGGUGUACUGGCACAGCUCAUCUGGAGCCGAGCCUUAGGCUUCCCUCUAGAAAGGCCCAAGUCCAUGAGCACAGAGGGUCUGAUGAAGUUUGUGGACUCUAAGUCAGGGUAAAACUGGAGACUGGGGGAAAGUGACUACCAGAAAGUGAGGAAGCCUAAAUAAAAAGUAUACUUUUGUUUCA
Molecule: long non-coding RNA, 1669 nt
Organism: Homo sapiens (human)
Lineage: Eukaryota; Metazoa; Chordata; Mammalia; Primates; Hominidae
Source: Ensembl